Molecule: non-coding RNA, 103 nt
Filed under: Desulfuromonadales bacterium
Lineage: Bacteria; Pseudomonadati; Thermodesulfobacteriota; Desulfuromonadia; Desulfuromonadales
Description: TPP sequence
Rfam family: TPP riboswitch aptamer (THI element)
About the family: Vitamin B(1) in its active form thiamin pyrophosphate (TPP) is an essential coenzyme that is synthesised by coupling of pyrimidine and thiazole moieties in bacteria. The previously detected thiamin-regulatory element, thi box was extended, resulting in a new, highly conserved RNA secondary structure, the THI element, which is widely distributed in eubacteria and also occurs in some archaea.
Source: RNAcentral
GCAACGCCCUAGGGGAGUUUUUGACUGAGAGCCCGGCCACAACGGGUAACCCUUUGAACCUGAUCCGGGUCAUUCCGGCGGAGGGAAGCGGCGCGAACUCCGG